UUGGUGUUACUGCGAAGGGGGGACGGAGAAGGCUAUGUUGGCCGGGCGACGGUUGUCCCGGUUUAAGCGUGUAGGUGUGUGUUCCAGGUAAAUCCGGUUCACUUUAACACUGAGGCGUGAUGACGAGGCACUACGGUGCUGAAGCAACAAAUGCCCUGCUUCCAGGAAAAGCCUCUAAGCAUCAGGUAACAUCAAAUCGUACCCCAAACCGACACAGGUGGUCAGGUAGAGAAUACCAAGGCGCUUGAGAGAACUCGGGUGAAGGAACUAGGCAAAAUGGUGCCGUAACUUCGGGAGAAGGCACGCUGACAC
RNAcentral lists this ribosomal RNA (312 nucleotides) under Salmonella enterica. RNAcentral's name for it is "partial 23S ribosomal RNA". It matches the Rfam family "Bacterial large subunit ribosomal RNA", at positions 1445 to 1757 of the family's 2925-position model. The record is from RNAcentral. Lineage: Bacteria; Pseudomonadati; Pseudomonadota; Gammaproteobacteria; Enterobacterales; Enterobacteriaceae.